GCUGCAGUCAUUAAGGCAGGUGUUUCUAGAGAGCAUGAAAUCCUGGCUGAAAUAUGAGAUGUUUUUUCUUUCAUUCGCAAAAUGGAGCCCAGAAGAGUGAUGGAUCCGAUGCUUGUCUCUCGUGUUAGGAUUUUCUAUAUAAUGUCACUGCUUGCUCGAUCACCAGAGCUACAAUCAAUUAAGGUUUCUCCGGUUGAGCGCUUUCUUGAGAAGCCAAAUAAUGGACGUAGUAGAAGCUCUAGCCGUGGUAGCAGCCUUGGAAGAUCUCCAGUUCAUUACGAUUCUAGUUCAAGGAAUAUGCUGGUUGGGGACCAAAUUUAAGGUUCAAAGUAAAUAUAAAACCAGAAAAGAAGUCAAAGUUGUCAUCAGUAGUUCUGAAGAUACGUGGAAUUGAUCAGGAGACCUGGCGACAGCAUAUAGCAGGUGGAAAGCUCAAGGAAAUAACCGAAGAAGCAAAAAUUUAUUCAAUUGGAAAAAAGGCACUUGCGGCUCUUUUUGUUCAUACCCUGCUGGCGCGCUCCAGCGUCAAAUUCGAAAUUGGCUUGUAGAGAACUUCGAUUUCCUUUCCAUUGCUGAUGACAUGGCUGCAAGAGCAACUGGUCAGCUGGAAAUUCUCUCUACAGCAAUAAUGGAUGGUUGGAUGGCUGGACUUGGUGCAGCCCAGCCUCCGACUACCGAUGCUCUUGGACAGCUGUCUGAAUAUGCCAGAUAUCUUUAUACUUCACAGCUGCAACAUUUGUAGGAUAUUGCUGGUACUUUGGCGACUGAAGCAGCGGAAGACUCUGCUCAAGUAGCUAAGCUAAGUUCAACUCUUGAAUAUUGUUGAUCACAAGAGAAGAAAUGUUUGUAUCAUAGCGCGCUGGCUCUCUUUAUCUUGGUUGCCUCACUUCUCAAAUACUGAAAUUCCGCAAACACCGUUUACUCGAAUUAGAUUUUACAACAAAUGAAAAACGACGCGGAGAUGUUAAAUUUAGAAAGUGGUGCUGCACCUAUUCGGAAUCCUUCCACUGUUGUUGAAGAUGCAAGGCUAGUGUUGUUAAUCUCCCUCGACAGCAUACUGAAGCAAGUCAAGGGUUUUCAUCUUUCUCCAAUUUCUCCUCUUUUAACUUUCUGACAGAUGUCGUCUCAGAUGCUUCAAAAUUUUGGUCAUUCAUCAUGAAGUGUGUUUAUAGUGUUUGUAUUUUCUGUAUGUAAUUUGUGUAGUGUUUUUUUAAUGUAUGUGUAAGUGUGCGUAUUUGUGUGGUGUAUAGAGGUGUGCAAUGUGUAUUGGGUGCUAUGAUGUAUAGUACAUAGUACGUACGCAGAGUUAUUCAUUAUUUUUAUAGUGCGUCAUAUGUUUAUUUGUGUA
This is a long non-coding RNA of Salvia splendens (bonfire salvia), 1348 nucleotides long. RefSeq lists it as uncharacterized. Lineage: Eukaryota; Viridiplantae; Streptophyta; Magnoliopsida; Lamiales; Lamiaceae. The transcript is spliced from 4 exons. The record is from RefSeq and is a predicted model, not a curated record.